Molecule: long non-coding RNA, 6774 nt
Organism: Apis mellifera (honey bee)
Lineage: Eukaryota; Metazoa; Arthropoda; Insecta; Hymenoptera; Apidae
Exons: 2
Source: RefSeq, a predicted model, not a curated record
GAACUGAAAAUCAUUUGAAAAUUAUUUUUACAUACGAAAAGGAAAAAAAAGAAACAAAUCGGAUGAAAAAAAUACGAGACAUUUGAUCGUGACAUUGGAGAGAUACCAAGCCCAGCUUAUCAUCGUUCGACCGAAAAUAAUUGGAUAAAGAGGUGGUGUCCACAUAGUAGGUGGCCUGUCAACAAGUUACUUUGCAACCAGUCACUUUACUCGAUAAUGCGAAGCGCCAAUCUCGAUAAUGUCUCGAAUACAAGUUGAAGAGCUUCAAUAAUAACCAUUUUACCAUUUUUUUUUUUUUUCUUCUUCUUCUUCUGUUCGAAACCAAGGGAAUUUAUAUUCAUGAAAAACGUUAUUCCAUCUGCUCGUUUCACGUAAAUAGCCUAUUACGUGUAUGCAGUACGGAGAAUUAUUAUCCUUUCCCCUUUUUUUCUUUUCGCGUAAAGUCUUGUCUAGAUUGUCCAGAAUCGUUUCACCACGAGGAUCACGGUCCAUUGUGGAAUUCUGGUUACAUCAUUUUCCGGCUUCCGUGCGAUUCACACCGAGGGAGAGUAAAUUGCCGAUUUAAUCGUUGCGUUUCCUUUCGAAAUCGCUUGGCACGUUCAACGAUACGGAAUAACUACAGCUUCGAGGGUAUACAUAUACAUAAACGAGUUGGAUGAAAUUGCUUUUUACGUUAGCUGGAAACGAGUAUUUUUUAUUCAUAAGGGAGAAAAUUUACCGUGUAUUUGAUAAAUGGAUUAUUAGAUCGUUAAAAUCGAAAUAUUAUUAAUUCACUUUGGAAUUUCGAUGAUAAGAUUAAUUAUCAAGAGAACGCUGUAAAUUCCAUUUACAGAGAAAAUUAUUUAAUCUACCAAAACUUGACCUGAUUCUAUUUAAAAAUUAAAAAAAAAAAACGCUUCAAUCAUUAUUCUUUUGAUCGCGAAAACAUCGAGCAUCCUCUCUUCAACCCCUGCAAAAUUCAAUUUUCCCCAAAGUGACCAUGAAAAACGGGCAUCGAUUGCCAUCGAAAGCGGAGAGACAGAGAGAGAGAGAGAGAGCAGGUUUCUCUCGUUGCGGCUUUCAUCAAGAUAGAUUGGUUGCGACCACGCGAUUCGAUAUCAAAUACACGAUACAUCAAAGGGAUCGAGAGCCGCGAGUCGAGAGCAAACAUAAUGAAACGGAAAGAGAAAGGUGGGAGGGGGAAAGAGAGGAGGAAAGAGAAGGAAAAAAAGAACUGCGUGCCACCCUAGUCACGGAUGAUGCCUUGAAGGCGCGCACGAUUGACAAGAUUUACAGACAGAAGAAAGAGGGAAAGAGGUAGAAGAAGAGGCUAUAUGUUGUGCGCUAUGUGUGCCGCAUGCAUUAUUAACACGCCGACAUCGUCCUUCGUGCAAUUCGGUCGGGUUGGAUUCAGUAUAUUUCAUUUGAUACGACGCCGACCUACUGACCUUAACUGGUACGGAACUUUUAUAUACGAGUCGAGCGCAUACCGGCACAUAAAGUUUAUUUAAUUAAGAUCAUCGCGUACCAGAAGGUACAUAAACGUCUGAGACGACGAAGAGGAGACACCACAGUGGUGAGGAUUGUGAUUAUUCCUGCAUAACAAUUUGAGGCAUCCUUCCAAGUGAUGAUAUGAUACGACGGUGCGUACGUGUCGUUACGUUUACUGCUCCAACUAUGCGAAGAGAAGAUGAUCGACGGAGGAAUGAUAAUCGCACUACACAAUCAAUAAUGACUGUUCAGAAAAAACUGCAUCGUAAACUGGAAUGAUAAUUCAAUACGUUUAUAUAAUGUUAAUAAGAGUAUAUAUCUCUUAUUCGAGAUGAUUCUAUUUUUAAAGAAUUAAUACUCGUUUGUUCAAGAUCAAUCGAUACAAUAUUAUGACAACUAUACUAUAUCUUUUAUAUAACGUUAGAACGUAAUUCGAGAAUACAUAUCAAACUCUUUCUUUGGUUUAAUAAUGAAACAAAUUCGAGAGAUAUGGAUUAUAUUUUUAAAGUUAUCAUAUACUGAAAAUGUUUUUAAUAUAUGAGUAAAAUUUGAUUGAAUUCUCAACAAAUUGGAAUUGAUUUGUACAAUUGUUUUGUAAAAAAAUCUCAAUAAGAAGUUUUUAUUCCCAACUAAAAUGCUCGAUUACGUGAUUGCACACAUCAGUAAGAUUUGUAAAUGUCUUUUUCGUAAUCUAAUACAAAAUCUAAUUUGAUUCAGCAUUAAACAUACUACGCCACAAUAAAUACGAAUAAAACGCUAAUAAAACGCUUUUUCUCUGCAUCCUUCAUCAUCGUGCUUCAUCAUCAAGUGAAAACAAAUAUACCAUUUGAACGACUAUUCAAGAGAAGCACAACCUACUACAAAGUUUUUCGUCCAAUAGAUGCCACUUUCUAAAGUAGUAACGAGAAGAGAUACGAUCUCGUGUUGGAACUAUAAAAGGUCUUUGACCUUUCUUGGCACUAAACUCCAAUGAAUUUCGAGGAUUUCGACCAAGGCAAUUCAAAACUAUUCCACGGUAAUUCCUUAACAUUUCAAAUUGUAUCUUAUAAAAUCGUACCCCUAUAAAGAUCGCUCUAAUUAAAGAAACCUUUCUCCCGAUGAUACGGAUUAAAGUUAAAAAGAAAAAAAAAGAAAAAAAAAACGAAAAUCACGCGAUAUACCGGUGUGCAUUUACGGUGAAACGUUACCGAUGAAAUUAGAUAAUUGACUUUCACGCUAAAUUAGCUUUGAAAUGUCUUCGAUCUCCUAGAGCUAGUAAUUUUAGAGAAAGUCUGGCCAUUCUCUGACCGUAGAUUGCUCUUUCGUUCCUCGUCGAAUACGGUUUCCGAUGCUCGUGGGAAUACUACACCUCGUCAGAAUUUAUUUCAAAUCUUUUACUUUGUCAUGGAAUCACCGUGCAAUAUAAAUCGUGAUGGAAGCGCGAUAAAGACACGUUGUAUUUGUCCAUUGGAGAUACGUUGCUUAUCAUUGGAUGAUCGAUAAUGGGUGAGCGAGGAUCGAGAGAAAAUGUUACUUUGAAAAAGAUGAUGAGAAAAAUUUUUAAAAAUUUAUUUCUCUUCUUUUUACAUAACAUUCUAUUCGAUCGUUCAACAAUUUGCGAUAUUUUAAAAUUAAUUUUUAAUGGAAAAAUUGUACGCAAGAAACAAAGUUACAGAAAGUGAAGGGCGAAUGUUAUUCGCGCCUGUCUUUACAACCGUCCAUUACCUACGUUAACUUGUAUUCCAAUUACCAUUUAGUACCACGUGCCUACUUAUGCCAUCAUUAAAUUAUGACACAAUUUUUCGUCAUUAUCCCGACAGCACUCUUUUCUCUUCCUCCUACAGAAUCAACCUAUUUUAACAUUGUUCGUAUUCAUCACUUAUCCACGAAUUUUUUUUUUUUUUAAAUUUUCAAAGAGAAUUUUAAAAAUGAUCCGUCGCAUUUUAAAGAGAUGAUAAAGUGUAGAUGUUUUAAAGUGAAAUCAGCUAGAUGCUUUAGGACGAGGUAAAUUGGCAUAUACCGUGAACGAACACGAUUCGAACAUCGAAGGUCGAGUUUUAGAGGCCGGUAAAGGUGGACACUUGAAACCUUUGGUAUAUAUCGUAAAAGGAGCGAGCAUUGGUCGAUUGCGCAUGAAAGGGACCAGUCUCGAGGGUACACAUAUGCACUGAUAAAUAGAUUAUCGUCCCCUGCACCGUCGCGAAAACCGAUACGAUCGACGAAAGAUAUUCCCAGUAUUAUUCGGAAUGCGGGAAUAUACUCUGAUAUUUGUACAAUUUGAUAACAAUAUAGGUAAAUAGUUUAGUCUGAGGAACAUUGUCCAGAUACGGAGGAUUUAUCUAGAAAUCGUACGAAUAUUCCUCUAAAUAUUUAUUUCGAAAGAAAUUUUUUCGAUGAAAUUUAAAAAAAAAAAAAAAAAUGCAAUUAAUUUCGUUACGUCGAAGGAAUAUUCGCUUUGUCGAUAAAAUUGUAACAUCUGCCUUCCAAACCUGAAGUCUGAACUCACAACUCAUAUAUCUUCAUCUCGACCAAGUGUUGGAUUACUCCAAUUUCCCGGUUCCAAGUUCAAAGUAAAAUAAUAAUCAGAUUGAUCUCCGUCAUAUUUAAUUCGAUUCCACGGUUGAAAUGAAGUUAGCCUCGUUUCACUCACGGUGUGUACAGUACAACACAAAACUGGCCCGAUUCGUGAAACGCAUGACCGCCCCUCGAAUUUAUAUAAUCCAUGCGUAGAUUAAAUAAUUCGUUUGCGUGAGAAAAUCGUUCUAUCGUGUCUGAUAGAAAAAUUGCUGAAAAUUUUCCAAUGUCGACCGCAUUUAAUGGGCUACUUAUUGCAAUUGCACUACUGUUGCGUUGUUUGAUAACGCACUUCCUGCAUACCCAACAUGUAUGUAUAUACAUGUUAAAGUAAAUGUUAUUAAAUACUAGCCACGUAUUAAUUUGACAAAUAUAAUGAUAUGUAUUCGCAAACGAUAUAACGGUAUUGCGAUACUAUUUCAUUUUUCCUUUUACAUAUAUAUAUGUAAAUGUUUUAUAUUAAAUUAGUUUUGUAAAAAGAUCGGUGCGGAUUAUUGAAGAAUAUAAUAAACCAUAUUGAUAAAUAUGAACAAUUAAUUUGAGUGAGAAAAAUUAUUUUAAAAUAAAUUUCUUCGUAACUGGCCUGGACCCUUGUGAACGAAGGAGUGUGCUAUGCACAGUUUUACUAUGCAUUCAAAAAUGGAAAAGGUAAACAAGGGUCACAGUUGGUAUGUCAGGAUGGUAGAUAGGGCCCUUGCCUUGGAAUACGAAAUGAGAAAGGUAUCGACUUUCCACAGUCGUGGUAUCAGCGUUACCAUGAUAACACCCCCGCAUGGCAAUCCACGCCACGAGUGAAGAACACUUUACGGUUUUGCUUCUUAGCCACGUGCACACACGCAGUGUUACUAGUUGUAGUUAUUCCACUUCUUUCGUUCUCUGUUGGCCUGGCAUUGGUGUGAAGUAAAGAAGGAUAGGGAAUGAAAGAAGGAGAAGAGAGAGAGAGAGAAAAGAAAGAAAAAGCCGCGACAAACACUUCAGACUGUGGUAAUGACGAGGAGGAAGUAAAUUUUACCGGGUACAAAGCAAACAUCACGAGGAGACACCUCAGGUACACCCUACCGCGUCGUCACAAGUCGCGCACAAUGGGACAAAGAACUUCUGCUUGCUGAUUCGUCACUGUUGUUUCCCUCAACUGGGAUAUAUUGUGUACAGAAUCCUGUUGAAGCGAGGAUAAUGACGAUUUAAUGGAAUUGUUGACCGACUAUUGAACUUUAAUUAAAUUUAAUUUAGUUUUUCUUUUUUUUUUUUUCUGAGUGAAAGGAUUUAAAAUUUUUUGAUUGAAUUUAAAGAGAAAAAUUUAAAAUCUCUUAUUUGUAAGUAUUUCGUGUAUGCUCGACUAAAAAAUAAUUCAUCGUGGUUAAUUGUGAAUUUCAAAGAAACUAGAUUAAAGUUGAUGGUAGGAAACCAGUGAUAUUUUUAGCACAACUCCGUUUAUCUGAAUCAUUAGAAUAAAAAACAAUUUCAUAGAGCCAGCUAUGAUUUUUCAUUCGAAUAAGAGUUUACCUUUGGAUUAAAUUAAAUUCAGAAGUUAAUUCAUAUUGAAUUAAUAAAUCCAUAUUAAUUAAUUAAUUAAUUAAUUAAUUGUUUCGAGGUUUUUUAUUAUCUUUGUCUUCAAUUAUCUGUACUCUUCCCAUUUGAAAUCAAGCUUUCUUUGAUGAUCACCAUGAAUCAUCAUGAAUGACCUACGUGACACAGGAAUUACAUAGGAUAGAAUUAAAUCCAAUUACAUGAGAACUCAUAAAAAUCGAGGAAAAUUUUUACAACAGAGAUGUAAAAACUCGCAAGAAUUAUAUUAUCUCGUUUAAUCAAUUACUAUCGUCCAUUAUUAUCGACAUCAUAAUCAAAACAUCAGAAAUGAAUUUCAGAAAAUUGACCCUGAUGAGAACUUCCUGCUACUGGCCAAUCGAUAAUACGCUCAGGAGAAACGUGAUUCAUUGCGUGCCACGAAUGCGUCAGCUUCCCCGUUUCAAAUUCACGAGAGUUUGAACAUUAUUCGAUCAUUUAUUAAAUUACGAUUAUUUCUAUUAUGAAAUAUAUUACGAAAAAACAAAGUUUGUUUCGAAGAAUUAUUAAUCGAUGAUACAUGCAAAUCAGUUAAACGAUAUAUAAACGAGCAUUACAACUUGUAAUACCGGUUUUUUUCUGAACCUUAGGUAGUCAACGUGAUCAUUCUGAAUUUUUCCCCCAUUUCUUUCUUUUACCGUGGAAUUGCGUCACAGUACAAGAAUAUUUUAUCAUCGUUAACAAUUGGGUUCUCGACUUGUGGAACAAGUAGUGGUAAAACGCUAACAACUUAAAGGUCAUCUUGCUAUAGUUAUUUGCUAUACUGAUUCCAUGAAUCGUAAGCUUCCUUGACCCGAAAAUUCUCUUUAAACGAACCUCAAUAUAUCCCCAUUUUUAUUUGUGGAAUUUCUUUUAUAUUUCAAUUCUGAGGAUGCAAAAAUUUUAAAUCAAUAUUAUUCAUGAAAAAUAAAUAUUUUUCAAUAGAAAACUGUUGAGAGACCUAAGAGUCGGAUAUUAAUUAUUUUAAAUUGAAUACUUCCACACGUUUGAAACUAAUAAUAACACUUGUUAAUAUGAUAAUUUGUACAUGCUAUAUAUAUAUAUCCAUCUAUAUCCUCCAAAUACAAUUACCAAAUCGAUGGAACAUAUUAUCGUCUGCAAUAAUCAUUCAAACUAUAAAAAGAAAAAUAUUCGAAAUUAUCCAAUCGUUAUUGGGUAUGAUUUUAUAGUUAUUGCCGUGUUAAUAUA